Molecule: long non-coding RNA, 370 nt
Filed under: Rattus norvegicus (Norway rat)
Lineage: Eukaryota; Metazoa; Chordata; Mammalia; Rodentia; Muridae
Description: long non-coding RNA NONRATT017439
Source: RNAcentral
GGAGCUGCUUCAGCGCGUGAUUGAGAUGAUGGAAAAGCCUUUUAAGUAUGGUGCUUGGGAACUAAACGCGGAAGACUAUGAAGAAGAAGCAGAAGACUAUCAGGCUGAAAUGGAAGUCGAGGAGGAGCAGGAGGAAGAGGAAGAGGAAGAGGAAGAGGGUGAAGAAAAAAGUAAAGAAAGGAGGAGACACUUGGGAGAUACCAAACACUUCUGCCCGGUGGUUCUCAAAGAAAACUUUGUUCUACAACCGGGCAGCACGGAAGAGGCCGUUAAAUACCGGGAGAAGAUAUACUACUUCUCAACCCCUGAGGCAAAGGAGAAGUUCCUGGAGCAUCCUGAGGACUACGUGUCCCAGAACGAACCCUUAAAG